GGGCAAUUAGCUCAGUGGUUAGAGUGCUUCGUUGACAUCGAAGAGGCCGCUGGUUCGAUUCCAGCAUUGCCCA
This 73-nucleotide transfer RNA is filed under the name Candidatus Liptonbacteria bacterium RIFCSPLOWO2_01_FULL_45_15. RNAcentral's name for it is "tRNA-Val". It matches the Rfam family "tRNA". Rfam says of the family: Transfer RNA (tRNA) molecules are approximately 80 nucleotides in length. Their secondary structure includes four short double-helical elements and three loops (D, anti-codon, and T loops). Lineage: Bacteria; Candidatus Liptoniibacteriota. RNAcentral also lists the same sequence under 1 other name. The record is from RNAcentral.